GACGAACGCUGGCGGCGUGCUUAACAUAUGCAAGUCGAACGGUGAAGGGAUCAGCUUGCUGGUUCUGGAUGAGUGGCGAACGGGUGAGUAACACGUGAGUAACCUGCCCCCUUCUUCUGGAUAACCGCAUGAAAGUGUGGCUAAUACGGGAUAUUCUGCGCCUGCUGCAUGGUGGGUGUGGGAAAGAUAUUGUUUCGGUGGGGGAUGGGCUCGCGGCCUAUCAGCUUGUUGGUGGGGUGAUGGCCUACCAAGGCGGUGACGGGUAGCCGGCCUGAGAGGGGGGACGGUUAAACUGGGAACCGGGAACCGCCCAGGCUCCUAACGGAGGCAGCAGUGGGGAAAAAUGGACAAAGGGCGGAAGGCUGAUGCAGGGACGGCGGGUGAGGGAUGGAGGCCUUCGGGUUGUGAACCUCUUUCGCCAGUGAAGCAGGCCUGUCCCUUGUGGGUGGGUUGACGGUAGCUGGAUAAGAAGCGCCGGCUAACUACGUG
This 489-nucleotide ribosomal RNA is filed under the name uncultured bacterium. RNAcentral's name for it is "partial 16S ribosomal RNA". It matches the Rfam family "Bacterial small subunit ribosomal RNA", at positions 28 to 507 of the family's 1533-position model. The record is from RNAcentral.